AUGGAUCACGGACUUAAGAUCGCUGUUUGGAACGUUCACGGACUCAACUCGCGCGCCCGGCGCACUGCCAUUCGCUCUUUGUUGGGUACUACCGGCGCCUCUACUGUAUGCCUACAGGAAACUAAAAUGGCUUUGAUCUACUCGUCCAUCGUGCUUGACAUCCUCGGCUCCGAGUUCGACGACUACACGUACCUCCCGGCUGAUGGCACACGAGGCGGCAUCCUCCUCGCCUGGAAGAGCAGGGCUGUCUCGGUCUACGGACCCCCUGCUCACCCAGAACGCGCUCACGACGAAAGUGUCCGUGGCUUCCGGGACGCCGUGGUGGCUGACGACGGUCUAUGGACCACAGGACGACGCUGA
RNAcentral lists this ribosomal RNA (360 nucleotides) under Triticum aestivum (bread wheat). RNAcentral's name for it is "partial small subunit ribosomal RNA". The record is from RNAcentral. Lineage: Eukaryota; Viridiplantae; Streptophyta; Magnoliopsida; Poales; Poaceae.